RNAcentral lists this ribosomal RNA (491 nucleotides) under uncultured bacterium. RNAcentral's name for it is "partial 16S ribosomal RNA". It matches the Rfam family "Bacterial small subunit ribosomal RNA", at positions 30 to 506 of the family's 1533-position model. The record is from RNAcentral.
AGUGAACGCUGGCGGUAGGCCUAACACAUGCAAGUCGAACGGCAGCACAGUAAGAGCUUGCUCUUACGGGUGGCGAGUGGCGGACGGGUGAGGAAUACAUCGGAAUCUACUUUUUCGUGGGGGAUAACGUAGGGAAACUUACGCUAAUACCGCAUACGACCUACCGGUGAAAGCAGUGGAUCUUCGGACCUGGCGCGGUUGAAUGAGCCGGUGUCGGAUUGGCUAGUUGGCGGGGUAAAAGCCCACCAAGGCGACGAUAGGUAGCUGGUCUGAGUGGAUGGAGCGCCACAGUGAAACUGAGACACGGUCCAGGCACCGACGGGAGGCAGCAGGGGGGACGAGAGGAAAAAGUGCGCAAGCCUGAACCAGCGAUACCGCGUGGGUGAAGAAGGCCUGCGGGUGGGAAAGCGCUUUUGGGGGGAAAGAAAAGCAGCAGGUGAAAACCCCGCUGUUCUGACGGUACCCGUAGAAUAAGCACCGGCUAACUUCGG